Long non-coding RNA from Cyprinus carpio carpio, 314 nucleotides. The record is from Ensembl. Lineage: Eukaryota; Metazoa; Chordata; Actinopteri; Cypriniformes; Cyprinidae.
CCCAAAGACAGUCAACUGGACUGCCAGUCUGGCUCACUAUCAGCUAUGGUUUUCAGGUAGUAGGCCUCUCCAGGCCUCCCUGAAAAUAAGCUUUCCACUUAGGGUGGUUUUCUGGUAACAGGUAGUAGGCCUCACUAGGCCUCCCUGAAGUUGAGCUCCCACAUACUGUGGUUGUCAGCUAGUAGGCCUCACCAGGCCUCCCUGGAGGUUUAGCUCCCACAUACUGUGCGUUUCCACUAAACAGCAUGGUUUUUCAGGUAGUAGGCCCCUCCAGGCCUCCCUGUAAGCAAGCGCCCAUGUUUUGUGGUUGUCAG